Molecule: long non-coding RNA, 1528 nt
Organism: Pseudopipra pipra
Lineage: Eukaryota; Metazoa; Chordata; Aves; Passeriformes; Pipridae
Exons: 5
Source: RefSeq, a predicted model, not a curated record
GGGGUGAGGGACCCCACCACCAGAACCUGCAUCUGGAGUCCCCAGGGCACCCCUGGGUGCCAGGGGUGGAGGGGUUUUGUGGGUGCCACAUCCUGUGGUGGGAGCCCCAGCUUCUCUCUGGUGCUGGAAGAGCUGUGUCCUCCCUAGCAUCAAAGUUUCUCCUGACCCCCUUCUGCUCUUGGAGCUGUGGCCGUGCUGCUUUUUUGUUGUGUUGCCAUGGUAACACUGCCUGCAUCCAUCCAUGGUCCUGCCUGUAUCUCUCCCUGCAUCUCGCUCUGGUGCUGCCUGUGUCUGUCCCUGGUCCUGCCUGCCUGGAUUGUACCCUAGCCCUGCCAUACCCAUCCCUGGUCCUGCCUGCAUCCCACCUUGAUACUGCCCUCGUCCUUCCUGUCUCCAUCCUGCCCUGAUCCUGCCUGAAUCAAUCCUAGCCUGGUCCUGGCUGUGUCCUGCUUGCAUCCACCCCUGGUCCUGCCUGCCUCCCUCCCUGGUCCUGCAGCUGGUGAGUGCCACCAGCCUCCUCUCUGGGGUUUUGAAGGGGGUUCUCCCAUCUGUCUGACACUGGACAAAACAUUAUUAACAGAUGAAGAGAGGGAGGAGGUGGGCAUUGCCGGGCCAGUCAAUCUGUCUCUGCUGGUCCCUUAUUGCAGCUGCCCGUGCUCGUGCCUCGGAGGUGCUGUGCUUCAUCAAGCCAGCGCCUGCCUCGCAGUGGGGUCACGCAGAGACAACCACUGUAAUGAGAAGAGCUGAAACUGCUGCGUGUAGCAGGAGGGGAGUGACAUCCCCGUACCUACCACCAGCCAGCCACAGGCUUUCUAGGCUUGUCUGGCCCAGAGCAGUGAGAGAGCUGAGAUCUCCUGGACUGACUUCAGUGAAUUUAUUAGCAGGCUCUUAGGCCAGGAGGAGGGAAGGUCCUGCCUGAACCCCAGGCUCGUCACUGGAGGGUCCGUCUCCAGCAUGAACACAGAGGCUGCCUCCUGCACUUCAAGAGGCCGUGCCAAAUCUUUGCAUAGAUUAGUCGUUAACAAUGGGGUUAAUAAUGAUAAUGGCACAAAUGUCCUGUGCCUGCAUGAGCUGCACUUAGGAAAAUCUGCCAGCACCAGUGCUGUGGCCAGCAUCCUCACCUUCCACAGCGUGGUACCCAGCUACCCCAGCACCUCUGCCAAGGAUGCUGCAGAUGUUGUCCAGCAGAUCUCUUUUCCUGCCGUCUCAGGAGCAAGGCUGGUGAAUGAUGUGCAGCAAGGAAUCACAGCUGUGAAUAACCAGCAAAUUCCUGGGAGGAGAGCCGGGUACCAGAUGCCGUGGAACACGUCUUUGCAGUGGUGCAGUCUGAGGCAGGUGAGGGUGAAGAUGCUCUGGUGCCUGCAUAAGAGCGUGGCAUGGAGGAAGGGGCUUAAGCUGAUGCUGAGUGUGGUGGAUUUAAUUUCCUCCCAGUAGCACUUCGAUAUUACAAGGUGCUCCAGAAAAACCAGAGAGGGCCUGGGGCGAAAUGCAGCCGAGUCAAUUGAAGUUAACUUCCCUGGGCACGAGG